RNAcentral lists this small RNA (943 nucleotides) under Pongo abelii (Sumatran orangutan). RNAcentral describes it as "retained intron". Lineage: Eukaryota; Metazoa; Chordata; Mammalia; Primates; Hominidae. The record is from RNAcentral.
CCCACCUGCUGACAUUUCUUCACUUUUCAGACAGCACCAGUUGCCCUUGAAGCAGAAAACAGAGGUGACAUGAAACUAGCUCUCCAGUAUGUCCCAGAGCCAGUCCCUGGUAAAAAGCUUCCUACAACUGGAGAAGUGCACAUCUGGGUGAAGGAAUGCCUUGAUCUACCACUGCUAAGGGGAAGUCAUCUAAAUUCUUUUGUUAAAUGUACCAUCCUUCCAGAUACAAGUAGGAAAAGUCGCCAGAAGACAAGAGCUGUAGGGAAAACCACCAACCCUAUCUUCAACCACACUAUGGUGUAUGAUGGGUUCAGGCCUGAAGAUCUGAUGGAAGCCUGUGUAGAGCUUACUGUCUGGGACCAUUACAAAUUAACCAACCAAUUUUUGGGAGGUCUUCGGAUUGGCUUUGGAACAGGUAAAAGUUAUGGGACUGAAGUGGACUGGAUGGACUCUACUUCAGAGGAAGUUGCUCUCUGGGAGAAGAUGGUAAACUCCCCCAAUACUUGGAUUGAAGCAACACUGCCUCUCAGAAUGCUUUUGAUUGCCAAGAUUUCCAAAUGAGCCCAAAUUCCACUGGCUCCUCCACUGAAAACUACUAAACCGGUGGAAUCUGAUCUUGAAAAUCUCAGUAGGUGGACAAAUGUCCUCACUUUCUAUCCAUUGCACCUAAGGAAUACUACACAGCAUGUAAAAGUCAAUCUGCAUGUGCUUCUUUGAUUACAAGGCCCAAGGGAUUUAAAUAAUAACAAAAUGUGUAAUUUGUGACUCUAACAUUAAAUAAGAUAUUGGAACAAGCUAGGAAAACUGAAUUUCUGCUGCUGCUUCAAAGAAAAAACUGCCCCAGAGCAUUAAACAUGGGGUAUUGUUAACAAGCAAAAUGUUCUUGUUUGCCAUCAUGUGUUUCACACCACAAUUCUGUGCCACAGUUAAGAGGGUCUGGUAC